This is a long non-coding RNA of Drosophila gunungcola (fruit fly), 877 nucleotides long. RefSeq lists it as uncharacterized. The transcript is spliced from 3 exons. NCBI's taxonomy places the organism in Eukaryota, Metazoa, Arthropoda, Insecta, Diptera, Drosophilidae. The record is from RefSeq and is a predicted model, not a curated record.
AUGGCGUUUUGAGUGUUGUCAAAAAAAUUUGUGUUUCCAAAACCUAAUUCAAACUACAUAUGCAUAACUUACCAAGCAGUACACGAAAGCCCUACACUUCAACCUCAAAUCCACUGUAAUAAAAAUCAGAAAUUAAUACACCAUCAAAAUGAACUCAAAACUGAUUUUUAUUAUUCCAAUCGCCUUGAGUUUAAGCUUCUUGCCCGAAGUUGGCGGAGCACCUGUAGAAAACGAUCUUCCAGGUGAAAUAGCAGUGUCCAAUAACUCGAUUGCUAUACGAAAUUCCCCAAGCUGGGCAGCAACCUUGCUGGAAAUUCGGCAUCCAAUUUUGGGCCGUCUCCAUAAGAUUCCAAAAUAUUUAAGACGAAAUGGAAACGGAAUUGCGGGGUAAGAUUGUACCCAAAUUUCCGAAGUGGCCACUUUUCUUCAAGGUUACAGUGGAGCCAUCAAAAUUCUUUGAUACUGUCAAUUUAGAGAACCAUAUUGGGGAGGGUGAAGCACAUCAAAAUGUAGGAAGUUUGAAGUUAAUGCGCAUGCUGAUCGAACAUGUUUGGAGGGAUGCCAAGGCCCUUAUAAAGAAGGACAUGAAAGGAAAAGUCGAUGAGGUUUAGAUGAUUUCAAAUGAGUGGAAAUUGAUGAACAUUUUUUGAGAAAACAGUUUUAUUUCGAAUUCAGUUUUGGACGAUGGACAAGUCAAAGUAAGAAGAGAAAAAGAAGUAUCCAAACUAUUAAAUGAAAAUGAGAAUUUGUAGAGGAAGCCGGAAGAAACCAAUAAUAAACUUGAGGAUAUUGUCCAGAUUAAAUAAAAUAUUCCAAAAUAAAAGAGCUAUAAAAGAAGUUUGCACUUCCCAAAUAAUAAGCAACAAUAGAUAAGGUA